UUCCGGUUGAUCCUGCCGGAGGUUACUGCUAUCGGUGUUCGACUAAGCCAUGCGAGUCAAAUGUUCUUCGUGAACAUGGCGGACUGCUCAGUAACACGUGGAUAACCUGCCCUUAGGUUCGGCAUAACUCCGGGAAACUGGAGAUAAUUCCGAAUAGGUCAAAUAUGCUGGAAUGCUUUUUGGCCAAAAGACCUCGGUUGCCUAAGGAUGGAUCUGCGGUCUAUCAGGUUGUAGUGGGUGUAACGUACCUACUAGCCUACGACGGAUAUGGGUUGUGAGAGCAAGAGCCCAGAGAUGGAUUCUGAGACAUGAAUCCAGGCCCUACGGGGCGCAGCAGGCGCGAAAACUUUACAAUGCGGGAAACCGCGAUAAGGGGACACCGAGUGCCAGCAUUUAUGUUGGCUGUCCACAUGUGUAAACGGCAUGUGUUAGCAAGGGCCGGGCAAGACCGGUGCCAGCCGCCGCGGUAACACCGGCGGCCCGAGUGGUAAUCACUUUUAUUGGGUCUAAAGGGUCCGUAGCCGGUUUGAUCAGUUCUUCGGGAAAUCUGACAGCUCAACUGUUAGGCUUCCGGGGAAUACUGUCAGACUU
Molecule: ribosomal RNA, 591 nt
Filed under: uncultured archaeon
Lineage: Archaea
Description: bacterial SSU rRNA
Rfam family: Archaeal small subunit ribosomal RNA
Source: RNAcentral